ACGGAAGGCAGCAGUGGGGAAUAUUGGGCAAUGGGCGAAAGCCUGACCCAGCAACGCCGCGUGAAGGAAGAAGGUCUUCGGAUUGUAAACUUCUUUUAUGAGGGACGAAGGACGUGACGGUACCUCAUGAAUAAGCCACGGCUAACUACGUGCCAGCAGCCGCGGUAAUACGUAGGUGGCAAGCGUUAUCCGGAUUUACUGGGUGUAAAGGGCGUGUAGGCGGUUUGGCAAGUCAGAAGUGAAAUUCCCGGGCUUAACCCCGGAACUGCAUUUGAAACUGUAGCCCUUGAGUAUCGGAGAGGCAAGCGGAAUUCCUAGUGUAGCGGUGAAAUGCGUAGAUAUUAGGAGGAACACCAGUGGCGAAGGCGGCUUGCUGGACGACAACUGACGCUGAGGCGCGAAAGCGUGGGGAGCAAACAGGAUUAGAUACCCUGGUA
Molecule: ribosomal RNA, 437 nt
Rfam family: Bacterial small subunit ribosomal RNA